This 407-nucleotide ribosomal RNA is filed under the name bacterium. RNAcentral's name for it is "partial 16S ribosomal RNA". It matches the Rfam family "Bacterial small subunit ribosomal RNA", at positions 355 to 776 of the family's 1533-position model. The record is from RNAcentral.
UGGGGAAUAUUGGACAAUGGACCGAGAGUCUGAUCCAGCAAUUCUGUGUGCACGAUGAAGUUUUUCGGAAUGUAAAGUGCUUUCAGUUGGGAAGAAAGAAAUGACGGUACCAACAGAAGAAGUGACGGCUAAAUACGUGCCAGCAGCCGCGGUAAUACGUAUGUCACGAGCGUUAUCCGGAUUUAUUGGGCGUAAAGCGCGUCUAGGUGGUUAUGUAAGUCUGAUGUGAAAAUGCAGGGCUCAACUCUGUAUUGCGUUGGAAACUGUAUAACUAGAGUACUGGAGAGGUAAGCGGAACUACAAGUGUAGAGGUGAAAUUCGUAGAUAUUUGGAGGAAUGCCGAUGGGGAAGCCAGCGUACUGGACAGAUACUGACGCUAAAGCGCGAAAGCGUGGGUAGCAAACAGG